CUCUGUGUGGUUUAUAGAUCCAAUAAUUUCUGGCUGGUUGGAAACCAUAAUCUAUACAUGAAGGGGGUUUAGAAAGUUUUUGAGGUCAGCAGUAAGAACUUUUAAACAGAAAACAAAUGAAAGUCAGUCCACAACAUUUAGAUUUGGUGGGAAAACAGUAGUCCAUGCAUGCUUGCAUGCCAUGGUUGAGGAAGCCCAAUCAUAUCAGAGCUCAGAUGGGUAUUUAGAACGGUAUGGUAACAUGGAAUAAAAUUAUACUGAUUUGAGUGCAUUUUACAUCGUGACAUUUUAGGAUGCUGUUAAGUUCAUAUAUUGCAACACAGUCAUUGUGGAAUCUUUCUGACAGUAGCUGCAGCCUAUUUUAAAAUAUUGCAUCAGUAUAGUUUGAGCUUCUGUUCCCUAAAUGACCUCUAAAAAUACUACAGCUUUAAAACAAAACAUUUCAUAUCUUUAAAUGGAAAUAAAACUCUAGCAGAAAGUUACAGUAAAUAUUUACAUACUGUGAGAUUAUUGCUGGACAAAGAUUUUGCUUAAAAAAACGGAAAGCCUUAAUGGUUCUUAUAGAAUGUUUCCUUAUAUAAUUGGAACAGCAAGGCCUGAAAUCAGUCACAAGAGUGUUGCUGCUGCAAUGAGAGUAGAAAACCAAGCACUUAAAUGAGGGUUGGAGGAGGAAUUCGUUUUACGUUUAGAAUUUGUAGUUUCUACUCCAGGAGAGCUUGGCCUGCAUUGGGUCGUCUCUUGAACUGAAGACCUAAUUAUGUCUGAGACCAUUAUUCAUUAUGUGUGUGUGGAGAGGGGUUUGAUUAAAAAAAAAAGUGCAAGUAAAACACUUAUUUCCCAGUAUAAAUGGGUCAAGUCUCAUGUGGUAGUAUAUUUCCGCAACAUAAUGUUGUAAAUAUUAGUAAGUAACUAUAUUUAUGCAGUUAAUUCAUUGUUGUAUACUUUAGGAAAUGUAUAGAGUCACACCUUGGAAGCCAAACAAAAUCUGUUCUGGAUGUCCAUUUGACUUCUAGGAUGUUUGACUUCCAAGGCGUGGCUUCCUGCAGCCAAUCGGAAGCUGCGGAAGCAUCGCUGGACGUUUGGCUUCCAAAUGAACGUUCGCAAACUGAAGCAGUCACUUCCGGGUUUGCGGCACUUGGGAGCCAAAACAUUUGAAUGCUAAGGCGUUCGUCAAACAAGGUACGACUGUACUUAAAACAUAGAAGUAUACCCUAAACUUCUGUUAUUAUGUACACUCCUGUAUGUAUCUGAGUACAUAUAAUAUUACAAUAUAAUAAUGAAUAUUAUGUGCAAUCAUUUUUCAUUUUUUGUAGAAUUGUAAAAAACAAAACAAAAACUCCCCCUAAUUCUUUAUUGAGAUCAAGUAUUAAGACAGAAACUGGAAGGAAAUAUCUUUUGAGGAUGAAAAGAGUACCCCAUGCUCCUCAGCUAGUCCACUGAGUGUGUCUGUGAAGGGUGUGUGUGUUAAGGGUGACCGUGUGUCAUUGUAUGUGCAUCUGUCUUAAGCAGGGGUCCUCAAACUAUGGCGUGCGGGCCGGAUCUGGCCCACCAGGGUCCUGAACCUGCCUCUGUCUUAAUUUUUUUAUAGACGUAAAACCGACUCAUCGGCUCAAUGGGGCAGCCCCACAUUGCAAGCACCCAACCAAAAAUGGAGGUCCCUUUGAGGCCUGCAAACCAAACCAAAUAAUAAAAUAAAAAUAAAGAUGCAACAGCAACGGCGGGAAUGCAAUGCGCACGGCGAUGGCGAGGCAUCUUCCACCCCACUCAGCCUCCCUCUUCCUCCCAGCCGACAAGAUCCUGAGAUGCUGCAUCCAUUGCUGGGAGAGGCGGGGCCUAUGAGCCUUCUAGUUCUGACUUGGCGUGACUUUCCUCCUUCUAGUUUCGGCGAAAGGUGCGCCGACCUGGAUCCAGCUGCAGCUCCCUUAAUUCCCACUCCCAGGCGCAGCCAUCCUUGAGUCACG
This 1961-nucleotide long non-coding RNA is filed under the name Podarcis lilfordi (Lilford's wall lizard). Lineage: Eukaryota; Metazoa; Chordata; Lepidosauria; Squamata; Lacertidae. The record is from RNAcentral.